GGUGACGUGGCCGAGUUGGUCUAAGGCGUUGGAUUUAAGUUCCCAAUGGGCGUGAGUCCGCGCGAGUUCGAACCUCGCCGUCACCA
This 86-nucleotide transfer RNA is filed under the name Phanerochaete sordida. RNAcentral's name for it is "tRNA-Leu". It matches the Rfam family "tRNA". From Rfam's summary of the family: Transfer RNA (tRNA) molecules are approximately 80 nucleotides in length. Their secondary structure includes four short double-helical elements and three loops (D, anti-codon, and T loops). Lineage: Eukaryota; Fungi; Basidiomycota; Agaricomycetes; Polyporales; Phanerochaetaceae. RNAcentral also lists the same sequence under 1 other name. The record is from RNAcentral.